GACGAACGCUGGCGGCGUGCUUAACACAUGCAAGUCGAACGGUAAGGCCCUUCGGGGUACACGAGUGGCGAACGGGUGAGUAACACGUGGGUGAUCUGCCCUGCACUUCGGGAUAAGCCUGGGAAACUGGGUCUAAUACCGGAUAGGACCACUGCCUGCAUGGGUGGUGGUGGAAAGCUUUUGCGGUGUGGGAUGGGCCCGCGGCCUAUCAGCUUGUUGGUGGGGUGAUGGCCUACCAAGGCGACGACGGGGAGCCGGCCUGAGAGGGUGACCGGAACACUGGGACUGAGAUACGGCCCAGACUCCUACGGGAGGCAGCAGUGGGGAAUAUUGCACAAUGGGCGCAAGCCUGAUGCAGCGACGCCGCGUGAGGGAUGACGGCCUUCGGGUUGUAAACCUCUUUCAGCACCGACGAAGCGCAAGUGACGGUAGGUGCAGAAGAAGGACCGGCCAACUACGUGCCAGCCGCCGCCGCGG
RNAcentral lists this ribosomal RNA (477 nucleotides) under uncultured bacterium. RNAcentral describes it as "partial 16S ribosomal RNA". It matches the Rfam family "Bacterial small subunit ribosomal RNA", at positions 28 to 523 of the family's 1533-position model. The record is from RNAcentral.